This 497-nucleotide ribosomal RNA is filed under the name uncultured bacterium. RNAcentral's name for it is "partial 16S ribosomal RNA". It matches the Rfam family "Bacterial small subunit ribosomal RNA", at positions 28 to 507 of the family's 1533-position model. The record is from RNAcentral.
GAUGAACGCUGGCGGCGUGCCUAAUACAUGCAAGUCGAGCGAACGGACGAGAAGCUUGCUUUUCUGAUGUUAGCGGCGGACGGGUGAGUAACACGUGGAUAACCUACCUAUAAGACUGGGAUAACUUAGGGAAACCGGAGCUAAUACCGGAUAAUAUUUUGAACCGCAUGGUUCAAAAGUGAAAGACGGUCUUGCUGUCACUUAUAGAUGGAUCCGCGCUGCAUUAGCUAGUUGGUAAGGUAACGGCUUACCAAGGCAACGAUGCAUAGCCGACCUGAGAGGGUGAUCGGCCACACUGGAACUGAGACACGGUCCAGACUCCUACGGGAGGCAGCAGUAGGGAAUCUUCCGCAAUGGGCGAAAGCCUGACGGAGCAACGCCGCGUGAGUGAUGAAGGUCUUCGGAUCGUAAAACUCUGUUAUUAGGGAAGAACAUAUGUGUAAGUAACUGUGCACAUCUUGACGGUACCUAAUCAGAAAGCCACGGCUAACUACGUG